This 253-nucleotide ribosomal RNA is filed under the name uncultured bacterium. RNAcentral's name for it is "partial 16S ribosomal RNA". It matches the Rfam family "Bacterial small subunit ribosomal RNA", at positions 524 to 776 of the family's 1533-position model. The record is from RNAcentral.
UACGUAGGGUGCAAGCGUUAAUCGGAAUUACUGGGCGUAAAGCGUGCGCAGGCGGUUUGCUAAGACCGAUGUGAAAUCCCCGGGCUUAACCUGGGAACUGCAUUGGUGACUGGCAGGCUAGAAUAUGGCAGAGGGGGGUAGAAUUCCACGUGUAGCAGUGAAAUGCGUAGAGAUGUGGAGGAAUACCGAUGGCGAAGGCAGCCCCCUGGGCCAAUACUGACGCUCAUGCACGAAAGCGUGGGGAGCAAACAGG